RNAcentral lists this ribosomal RNA (228 nucleotides) under uncultured bacterium. RNAcentral's name for it is "partial 16S ribosomal RNA". It matches the Rfam family "Bacterial small subunit ribosomal RNA", at positions 524 to 751 of the family's 1533-position model. The record is from RNAcentral.
UACGUAGGUGGCAAGCGUUGUCCGGAUUUACUGGGCGUAAAGCGCGCGCAGGCGGACUGGUCAGUCCGGGGUGAAAUCUCACGGCUCAACCGUGAGCGGUCCCCGGAUACUGCCAGUCUUGAGGUGUCUAGAGGAGAGCGGAAUUCCCGGUGUAGUGGUGGAAUGCGUAGAUAUCGGGAAGAACACCAGUGGCGAAAGCGGCUCUCUGGGGACCACCUGACGCUGAGG